Molecule: ribosomal RNA, 253 nt
Filed under: uncultured bacterium
Lineage: Bacteria
Description: partial 16S ribosomal RNA
Rfam family: Bacterial small subunit ribosomal RNA
Source: RNAcentral
UCCGAAAGGGGCUAGCGUUGUUCGGAAUUACUGGGCGUAAAGCGCACGUAGGCGGCCUUGUAAGUUGGGGGUGAAAUCCCGGGGCUCAACUCCGGAACUGCCUUCAAGACUGCAAAGCUAGAGGACGCGAGAGGUUAGCGGAAUUCCGAGUGUAGAGGUGAAAUUCGUAGAUAUUCGGAAGAACACCAGUGGCGAAGGCGGCUAACUGGCGCGUUUCUGACGCUGAGGUGCGAAAGCGUGGGGAGAAAACAGG